Long non-coding RNA from Homo sapiens (human), 1874 nucleotides. Lineage: Eukaryota; Metazoa; Chordata; Mammalia; Primates; Hominidae. The record is from Ensembl.
AUCAUCUUUGAACUAGAAAAUGAGCGCUCAGCAGACCUUGAGUUUGCCAGAUUUGAUCAUGAACUUCCCAGCUUCAAGAACUCCUGAACAAAGCUCCACGAUGAAGUCUACGAAGCCACAUUUUGGACAAAGGCUGAAUCUAAGGACUGUUUGGAAGAGAUCCACCCAAUAGAUUAGCUUAAAGAAGACUAUCUGGACAACUUGUUGAAAUAGAAAAACUCGUCCUAAUAUUCAUCUGGAAUCUCAAGGGACGUAAUAGCAAAACCACAUUGUAAAAAUAGAACAAAGAUGGAGAUUUGACACUUCUUUAUUUCAAAAGUGAGUAGCAUAUGAAGUCUGAGUAUAUGAGCUAAAAGUUUAUAAAGAUCAUAUAACCAACAAAUCACAAACUGGUAGACUACUGGCCAUGGAAUACCUGGAUGCUGUCAAUGUUAAAAAUGAGAAGAUUUUAUAUAAAAGGCAGCAUCCUGAUAAAUUAUCCUACAAAUAUGAAACUACUAACACUGGAUCCAUGUCUUUCCAAAAUUAUCAUCACCAUCAUCAUCGUCAUCAUCACAAAGCCAUCACAGAGUGCUUUCUGUUUGUCAUCCACAGUGCCAAACCCUUUGCAGACAUUGUUUCUUUUAAUCUUUACAGCAAUCCUAUCAUGUAGGAUACCCUAUUAUCACCUGAUAAUUGAAGAUAAAUAAUUGUCCAAGAGUAUACAAGUAGCAGAUGAUAAAGCCACAUUUCAAACUAAUAUGAUUCUAACCCAUCAACUGUCAGCCAAUGGUCGUAACUGGCCUGUUUGGAUUUUGUGCCCUGCAGUUUGUCACAGUUUGCUCCUGUCUGUACGUGGUCAGCUUUUCCCACUAUUGUUAUUGGUUGGAAAACAUGGCCCUUUGGACCAAUGAGUACUGAGGUUUAUGAAAACCCUUGUUUUACAGCGGCAGAAACCUCCAAAGUGAAGUCAAGCAAAGUUAACUAUGUUAGGUUGUAGAAAUAUCAAUGAUGUGUGCUUCUGUCUAUUUCAACAACUGACCUUCAGCCCAACACAAAAUAUUUCUCAAUAAAGAAUAACUGAUUGACUAAUUGAAGGAAAAAGUAACAAAUGACUACAGGGCAUAGUUAACACUGGAUUUGUGUUCAAGGUCCUCUAUAUUUUUGGUCUCCAUAUUUCACAAAAAAUAACAACUGCCAUAAAUUGUUAGAAAAUAGCAUUGUUUUAUUAAUACAUAGUGUGAGUUGGCCUGGCUCACUGGAUCACUCCUGUGAUCAUAGCACUUUGAGAAGUCGAGGCGGGUGGAUCACUUGAGGUCAGGAGUUUGUGACCAGGGUGGCCAACUUGGUGAAAUCCCGUCUCUACUAAAAAUACAAAAAUUAGCUGGGCAUGAUGGCGCUUGCCUGUAGUCCCAGCUACUCGGGAGGCUGAGGCUGGAGAAUCGCUUGAACCCCGGAAGCAGAGAUUGCAGUGAGCCAAUAUCGCACCACUGCACUCCAGCCUGGGCAACAGCAAGACUCAUCUCAAAAAAUAAAAAUAAAAAAAUACGUAGUGUAAGUCAUUUCUUCCAGGGCUUUGCUUUUUAUCUUAUUUAAUACUACAGCCAUGUUCUGAGCUAAAUUUAUUAUUAUUCCCACCUGACAGAUAAGUAAAAUCCUAUCAGGAUACUGAUAGAUAAGGAACUUACCUAAAGUCACCUUGUCUUAUGAAUAGCUUGAUUAGGAUGGGUUUAAACCUGAUCAAUAUGAUCACAUUUCCAAAAUGCUAUUUUAUUUACCAUUAUUGAGUUUUUCAUUAUUCAAGAUUUUCUAUUUUGAUCAUGGCAUUACAUCAGCAAGUUAAUUGUUUUAACUUUUGAAUUAUAGUUCAUAAAAUACUUUGUGUGAAAAUGCUC